GAGAGAAGAAAAAAGAAGAAAGGAACGGAUGAAAGACUGAUGGUGAUAAGAAACUCCAUGAAGCAUCUGAUGAAGUGAAAGUCAACUCUGGCUUAUUUGGUGUUAGAACUCUUGGAUUGCAAGGAAGGAAAGCCAGCUGCAGCUAACUGAAGCAAAACAGGACAACAAAUCAUAAUGGAACAAGGGAAGGAACAUCAUGGAACUCAACAGGAAGACUGUGGCCAGGCCGCAGGAAGAACUGGAAUUGACUUCUGGGAAUAGAAACUGUUAGGAGCCCAGACAGAAGUGCCCCUUUCUCCCCUCUACUUUUCUCUGUACAUAUGUUUGUCCUCUUUCUCUACAAUUUGGUGUCCUCUGCUCCCCAGUUUACAAAACCACACAAGUUACUCCUAAUGUUACUUAUUUGUCAUUUAUUUCAAAAAGUCAGAGAAGGACUAUAAUUAUCACAGCUUGUAUCAGGUGCCUACUUCCAGACCAAUAAACCCAGGCCAGAAGGAGGGCAAUAGUGUGCAUGAAGUAGUGAAAUGAAUCAUCGUCUAAAAAAGCAGACUUGAGAAUAACCAGUAUAGACCAUCUAAGAAUGUAUGUGUUGAAAGGGGAAGGCAUGCAGGGGUCAUUGUGUGUAAGACAGCUUUGAAAGAAGUCCAGUAUGUUGACCAUCCCAGUAGCCAGUAGCUGAGAGAGCAUGGGAUUUGGAGCCAAGCAGAUCUGUCACAUCAAUGCCUGUAAAUUUGCAUGGAUCAUUUUAGCUCUAUUUAAAAUAAACUCAGGUUUCUUUUUAUAUGUAACACUGGCAUUAUAAUUCUUAAUCUUCAUAAUUACUGUAUGCUUGACAACAGAGUAUGUAAAAUAACACAGUGAGCAUGAAAAGCUGAUACUUGCCAUUAUUAAUUCUUCAUACACUUUAAUUUCUAUUAUGUAUUCUAUCCAUACGAAAGUGUGCUGCAUCCUCCAAAAAAACAUAUAGGUUUUAUAAUAACUUCAAAAUCCGGUGAAAUGGGAACCAAUGUGCUAGGAUUAUUCUCCACACGGGUUUCUUCAUCACAUCCAAUAUUUGCACAUUGUGUCUAAUUUGGUAAACAACUCUUGAUUUAUUUUCCAGUCUUGGAUAGAUUUACCAGUGAAAGCUUUCCAGUGUGUCACUGAAAAAAAUGAAAGCAUUAAACUGUCUGGAGACAGGAUUUUGGAGUUUGUAAAUUCCCUCUGGUCACAGUUUAUCUUUUUUCAAGUGACUGGUGGUUAGCAUUUUUGUCUUCUGUUCUUUUGAUAGCUUCUUCAGGAAUCUUGAAUCUCUAGACAUCUCAGGAGACACUGUGGAAUUAAAAUGAAAUAAAGUAUCCAAACAUCA
Molecule: long non-coding RNA, 1348 nt
Organism: Suricata suricatta (meerkat)
Lineage: Eukaryota; Metazoa; Chordata; Mammalia; Carnivora; Herpestidae
Exons: 2
Source: RefSeq, a predicted model, not a curated record